Molecule: ribosomal RNA, 383 nt
Filed under: uncultured eukaryote
Lineage: Eukaryota
Description: partial 18S ribosomal RNA
Rfam family: Eukaryotic small subunit ribosomal RNA
Source: RNAcentral
CAAUAGCGUAUAUUAAAGUUGUUGCAGUUAAAAAGCUCGUAGUUGGAUUUCUGGUAGGAGUGACCGUUCCGAACUUGAUUGUUCGUGUAUUGUGUUUUCUCCAGCCAUCCUUGUGGAGAACUUUUCUUGCAUUAAUUUGUAGGGAUUGGGACCCGCAUCGUUUACUGUGAAAAAAUUAGAGUGUUUAAAGCAGGCAAUCGCUUGAAUACAUUAGCAUGGAAUAAUAAGAUAGGACUUUGGUACUAUUUUGUUGGUUUGCAUACCAAAUUAAUGAUCAACAGGAACAGUUUGAGGAUAUUCGUAUGAACAUGUCAGAGGUGAAAUUCUUGGAUUUUGAUCAGACGAACCACUGCGAAAGCAUUUAUCAAGGAUGUUUUCAUUAA